CUUCAGUCAGAGUAGACCUUAAAGUUUAGAAUUUAUGCAAAGAGAUAAUUUGAGCAUUUCAUCAGCCUUUUCUAUUUUUCCACACUCUCCAGAUUAGACACCAUGGAGAACUGAGCAUGUCUCACUGUGGAAGGAGGAUGACAGUGCCAUUCCAGAGUAGCCCUGGAUGAUUAGGGGAUAUCCGACUAACCUGAUGGGAAGUCAAAGCAGUGGGAGCUGAUUGGACCUUUUGGGAAAGCAGGAAUGAAACUUCAAGCCCUGACAGUUAGUGGCCUACGUAUCCAUCAGUGAUAGAACCCAAGACAAAUGGUAUGUAAGAGAAUUAGAUAAAGAGGGGACCAGGGUUUCAGGUAAGUGAAAGAUUGUUUUCCUAGAGGAGGGUUGGUGACUUCAC
Molecule: long non-coding RNA, 394 nt
Filed under: Mus spicilegus (steppe mouse)
Lineage: Eukaryota; Metazoa; Chordata; Mammalia; Rodentia; Muridae
Description: lncRNA (ENSMSIG00000012833.1)
Source: RNAcentral